RNAcentral lists this unclassified non-coding RNA (287 nucleotides) under Russula sp. RNAcentral's name for it is "partial contains small subunit ribosomal RNA, internal transcribed spacer 1, and 5.8S ribosomal RNA". The stretch from base 1 to 46 matches the Rfam family "Eukaryotic small subunit ribosomal RNA", at positions 1786 to 1831 of the family's 1831-position model. The record is from RNAcentral. RNAcentral also lists the same sequence under 1 other name. Lineage: Eukaryota; Fungi; Basidiomycota; Agaricomycetes; Russulales; Russulaceae.
AAGUCGUAACAAGGUUUCCGUAGGUGAACCUGCGGAAGGAUCAUUAUAGUACAACGGAGGUGCCUGGGCUGUUGCUGACCUCAAGGUCGUGCACGCCCGGAGUGCUCUCUCACAUCCAUCUCACCCCUUUGUGCAUCAUCGCGUGGGGCCCUCUCCUUUGGCUUGUUCCGGAAGGGGGGGGGUUCACGUUUUUACACGAACAACCCAUUAAUGCAUGUGUAGAAUGUCUUACUUUUUGCGGUCACACGCAAUCAAUACAACUUUCAACAACGGAUCUCUUGGCUCUC